CAACCCCUCUGGCUGGCAGUUUCCUGUUACUCCCCAGGAGCAGGGCAGAAGGAGUGCCAUUACACUGCAGAUGUACCGAUCUCUGGGGUUUCCCCACAUGUGGGAACCCGACUGUAUAAUUUGGGGCAGUGGGGGACUGCAUUGGCACUCCCCCC
This 155-nucleotide small nuclear RNA is filed under the name Nannospalax galili (Upper Galilee mountains blind mole rat). Its description in RNAcentral is "U1 spliceosomal RNA (ENSNGAG00000003959.1)". It matches the Rfam family "U1 spliceosomal RNA". Rfam says of the family: U1 is a small nuclear RNA (snRNA) component of the spliceosome (involved in pre-mRNA splicing). Its 5' end forms complementary base pairs with the 5' splice junction, thus defining the 5' donor site of an intron. There are significant differences in sequence and secondary structure between metazoan and yeast U1 snRNAs, the latter being much longer (568 nucleotides as compared to 164 nucleotides in human). Lineage: Eukaryota; Metazoa; Chordata; Mammalia; Rodentia; Spalacidae. The record is from RNAcentral.